This 496-nucleotide long non-coding RNA is filed under the name Eucalyptus grandis. RNAcentral describes it as "long non-coding RNA (EGRA_LNC001307)". Lineage: Eukaryota; Viridiplantae; Streptophyta; Magnoliopsida; Myrtales; Myrtaceae. The record is from RNAcentral.
CCUGAGAUCGCAUAUCGACUUAGUGAUGCGAAGGAGCAAGGGGUGGAAGAAGUAUAAAGUACAAACAGAGCAGCGAUAGGAGAUCCCAUCAGUGCAAGAGAUGGCAGAGAAUAGUUCACUUGCUUAGUUCAGAAGAUCGAAAAGUCAGAGACGAGAACUUCAUCGUGCAUAAGCAACCAUUAAAAGAAAAGUUCGUCAAGCAAAAUUUACGCAUUCCAAAUUAAGAGGCAACAUUUGGUAAUGGUUCUUAGGGGUGUCAAUGGUUCGGUUCGGUUCGGUUCGGUUUUUUUAAAAACCGAACCGAACCGAACCGUUAGGAAAAACUUCCGAACCGAACUAAAUGAGACCCAAACCGAAUAUGAACCGAACCGAAUUUUUGGUUUGGUUCGGUUAGGUUCAGUUUUUCGAUUUUUGGUUUUCAACUUUUAGUUUUCGGUUUUUGCAUUUGUUUUUUCUUUUCGUUUUUUUUUUCCCGUUGUAUUUCCAAGAAAUAAGC